AAGUCGUAACAAGGUAACCGUAGGUGAACCUGCGGUUGGAUCAUUACUUUUGUAUGUUACGGUGCGCGCUCCCUCUCUCUCUUUUUUUAGAGUGGGUCGAGGUCGAGUCGCACCGCAAUGUGUUAACCCCUGUGAACCGAAGCGUAUCUGGCCUCUUUGCCGAGGCCGACUUUUUAGCAACACCUUUUAACCGACGUAACUGAUGAUAAAAAAGAGUAAAUGAGAACUUUUGACAACGGAUCUCUAGGCUCUC
This 253-nucleotide unclassified non-coding RNA is filed under the name fungal sp. Its description in RNAcentral is "partial internal transcribed spacer region". The stretch from base 1 to 46 matches the Rfam family "Eukaryotic small subunit ribosomal RNA", at positions 1786 to 1831 of the family's 1831-position model. The record is from RNAcentral. Lineage: Eukaryota; Fungi.